This 1487-nucleotide ribosomal RNA is filed under the name Lactiplantibacillus plantarum. RNAcentral describes it as "bacterial SSU rRNA". It matches the Rfam family "Bacterial small subunit ribosomal RNA". The record is from RNAcentral. Lineage: Bacteria; Bacillati; Bacillota; Bacilli; Lactobacillales; Lactobacillaceae.
GCUGGCGGCGUGCCUAAUACAUGCAAGUCGAACGAACUCUGGUAUUGAUUGGUGCUUGCAUCAUGAUUUACAUUUGAGUGAGUGGCGAACUGGUGAGUAACACGUGGGAAACCUGCCCAGAAGCGGGGGAUAACACCUGGAAACAGAUGCUAAUACCGCAUAACAACUUGGACCGCAUGGUCCGAGUUUGAAAGAUGGCUUCGGCUAUCACUUUUGGAUGGUCCCGCGGCGUAUUAGCUAGAUGGUGGGGUAACGGCUCACCAUGGCAAUGAUACGUAGCCGACCUGAGAGGGUAAUCGGCCACAUUGGGACUGAGACACGGCCCAAACUCCUACGGGAGGCAGCAGUAGGGAAUCUUCCACAAUGGACGAAAGUCUGAUGGAGCAACGCCGCGUGAGUGAAGAAGGGUUUCGGCUCGUAAAACUCUGUUGUUAAAGAAGAACAUAUCUGAGAGUAACUGUUCAGGUAUUGACGGUAUUUAACCAGAAAGCCACGGCUAACUACGUGCCAGCAGCCGCGGUAAUACGUAGGUGGCAAGCGUUGUCCGGAUUUAUUGGGCGUAAAGCGAGCGCAGGCGGUUUUUUAAGUCUGAUGUGAAAGCCUUCGGCUCAACCGAAGAAGUGCAUCGGAAACUGGGAAACUUGAGUGCAGAAGAGGACAGUGGAACUCCAUGUGUAGCGGUGAAAUGCGUAGAUAUAUGGAAGAACACCAGUGGCGAAGGCGGCUGUCUGGUCUGUAACUGACGCUGAGGCUCGAAAGUAUGGGUAGCAAACAGGAUUAGAUACCCUGGUAGUCCAUACCGUAAACGAUGAAUGCUAAGUGUUGGAGGGUUUCCGCCCUUCAGUGCUGCAGCUAACGCAUUAAGCAUUCCGCCUGGGGAGUACGGCCGCAAGGCUGAAACUCAAAGGAAUUGACGGGGGCCCGCACAAGCGGUGGAGCAUGUGGUUUAAUUCGAAGCUACGCGAAGAACCUUACCAGGUCUUGACAUACUAUGCAAAUCUAAGAGAUUAGACGUUCCCUUCGGGGACAUGGAUACAGGUGGUGCAUGGUUGUCGUCAGCUCGUGUCGUGAGAUGUUGGGUUAAGUCCCGCAACGAGCGCAACCCUUAUUAUCAGUUGCCAGCAUUAAGUUGGGCACUCUGGUGAGACUGCCGGUGACAAACCGGAGGAAGGUGGGGAUGACGUCAAAUCAUCAUGCCCCUUAUGACCUGGGCUACACACGUGCUACAAUGGAUGGUACAACGAGUUGCGAACUCGCGAGAGUAAGCUAAUCUCUUAAAGCCAUUCUCAGUUCGGAUUGUAGGCUGCAACUCGCCUACAUGAAGUCGGAAUCGCUAGUAAUCGCGGAUCAGCAUGCCGCGGUGAAUACGUUCCCGGGCCUUGUACACACCGCCCGUCACACCAUGAGAGUUUGUAACACCCAAAGUCGGUGGGGUAACCUUUUAGGAACCAGCCGCCUAAGGUGGGACAGAUGAUUAGGGUGAAGUC